RNAcentral lists this ribosomal RNA (481 nucleotides) under uncultured bacterium. RNAcentral's name for it is "partial 16S ribosomal RNA". It matches the Rfam family "Bacterial small subunit ribosomal RNA", at positions 30 to 507 of the family's 1533-position model. The record is from RNAcentral.
CGACCGCUGGCGGCGUGCUUACCACAUGCACGUCGAACGCUGAAGCUCAGCUUUUGUUGGGUGGAUGAGUGGCGAACGGGUGAGUAACACGUGAGUAACCUGCCCCCUUCUUUGGGAUAACGCCCGGAAACGGGUGCUAAUACUGGAUAUUCACUGGUCUUCGCAUGGGGGUUGGUGGAAAGGGUUUUUCUGGUGGGGGAUGGGCUCGCGGCCUAUCAGCUUGUUGGUGGGGUGAUGGCCUACCAAGGCUUUGACGGGUAGCCGGCCUGAGAGGGUGACCGGUCACAUUGGGACUGAGAUACGGCCCAGACUCCUACGGGAGGCAGCAGUGGGGAAUAUUGCACAAUGGGCGCAAGCCUGAUGCAGCGACGCCGCGUGAGGGAUGGAGGCCUUCGGGUUGUGAACCUCUUUCGCUCAUGGUCAAGCCGCAACAAUGGUUGUGGUGGGGGUAGUGGGUAAAGAAGCGCCGGCUAACUACGUG